GUACGUGGUUUUCUCUUGAACACCCAGUAAAGCAGCUGAAAGUCAAAGCCAGAUGUCCAGAGCUAGGCUUGCUGGGAUGUCCAGUUCCCUGCGGCUGGCUUCGUGACCUCUAGUCGCUUCCUUCUAGGAACCUCCGUUUUCUUCACGGGAAAAUAAGGGCUGGGGCCGUUGCUCCUGGCAAACGUAGGAGGAAGGAAAACUUCGCCUUUCCUCCGUUCGCCUAGGGUUCCGCAGACCGCCUGGACGUCACCGACCUGGUGCUUUCUCUCCCUCUUUCCCCUUUGCCCAUCACCAGUAUCUGCAAAACCUAUCUGCGAGGGGAGAUCACGGUGGAGGAUGCGCCUCAGGAAUCGAAGACAGGCGGAGGGAAGCAAAAAGACCUGACCUGGCAGCCAGAGGAGCCAAGCGUGGGCCCAGGCCCUGCUCCAACGCUAAUUAGUGGUGUGGUUCAGCGCAAAGUCACUCGCUUCUGGCUCUCCUGUUCUCUGUGACCUCAAGGGCAUCUCCUAACAACGACUCACAAGCCCUCUGAGCCUCACCAGAUUGCUUGAGCUCCCCCCGCCGCUGACGCGGACGAGUGGAGGGGUCCAGGCUCAGCUCGGUGGCGGCGAGUGUUUGGCGGUGACUCUGAGGACUCAGACAGCCUCAGAUGCUUUACUUGUCCCCCUUCCUCGUUUGUCAGCAAUCCUUCAUCGUGCCCCAGUUUCUGGGUGUAUUUUUAGUAGAAAUAAACUCACAC
Long non-coding RNA from Suricata suricatta (meerkat), 739 nucleotides. RefSeq lists it as uncharacterized. The transcript is spliced from 3 exons. NCBI's taxonomy places the organism in Eukaryota, Metazoa, Chordata, Mammalia, Carnivora, Herpestidae. The record is from RefSeq and is a predicted model, not a curated record.